AAACAAACCAAAUUUCCCUUUGUAUCUAUAAUAUUUUACUAUUUAUCUUAUUCAAAAUUUUUUUACAAAUAAUAUUUUUGUUUUUAUUAGAUAAUAAAUCAUGAAUAGUACUUAACGUGUGACUAAUUUUUUUUCAUUUUUUAAAAAAAAUUCAAAUAAGACAUAUGAUCAAACGCUGAACACGGGAACCGAAGAGUUAGCUUAUU
RNAcentral lists this microRNA precursor (206 nucleotides) under Oryza brachyantha (malo sina). RNAcentral describes it as "MIR812 microRNA precursor family". It matches the Rfam family "MIR812 microRNA precursor family". Lineage: Eukaryota; Viridiplantae; Streptophyta; Magnoliopsida; Poales; Poaceae. The record is from Rfam by way of RNAcentral.